GAUGAACGCUGGCGGCGUGCCUAAUACAUGCAAGUCGAGCGAACGGACGAGAAGCUUGCUUCUCUGAUGUUAGCGGCGGACGGGUGAGUAACACGUGGAUAACCUACCUAUAAGACUGGGAUAACUUCGGGAAACCGGAGCUAAUACCGGAUAAUAUUUUGAACCGCAUGGUUCAAAAGUGAAAGACGGUCUUGCUGUCACUUAUAGAUGGAUCCGCGCUGCAUUAGCUAGUUGGUAAGGUAACGGCUUACCAAGGCAACGAUGCAUAGCCGACCUGAGAGGGUGAUCGGCCACACUGGAACGGAGACACGGUCCAGACUCCUGCGGGAGGCAGCAGUAGGGAAUCUUCCGCAAUGGGCGAAAGCCUGACGGAGCAACGCCGCGUGAGUGAUGAAGGUCUUCGGAUCGUAAAACUCGGUUAUUAGGGAAGAACAUAUGUGUAAGUAACCGUGCACAUCUUGACGGUACCUAAUCAGAAAGCCACGGCUAACUACGUG
This 497-nucleotide ribosomal RNA is filed under the name uncultured bacterium. RNAcentral describes it as "partial 16S ribosomal RNA". It matches the Rfam family "Bacterial small subunit ribosomal RNA", at positions 28 to 507 of the family's 1533-position model. The record is from RNAcentral.